This is a non-coding RNA of Ailuropoda melanoleuca (giant panda), 161 nucleotides long. NCBI's taxonomy places the organism in Eukaryota, Metazoa, Chordata, Mammalia, Carnivora, Ursidae. The record is from Rfam.
GAGUGUUCAUUGUGGUGAUCAGAUGGCACCCAGGAGAAAUGGAGCCCCCUGUCCAGUGUGAGUCAUAGCAGUGCAGGAGGGGAGAUCCUGAAGGAGAGAGCCUGCCUAAAUUGCUGUCUGCAGAUGGAAUUUCCAGAGGCUUAGGAGGUGGAAGUUCUCCA